GGCUGGUCCAGGUGCAGUGAUGUUUACAACCAACUGAUCACAACCACUUAACAGAUUUCUGUGUUCCUUCUUCACUCCCACUGCUUCACUUGAUUAGCCUUAA
Y RNA from Callithrix jacchus (white-tufted-ear marmoset), 103 nucleotides. It matches the Rfam family "Y RNA". From Rfam's summary of the family: Y RNAs are components of the Ro ribonucleoprotein particle (Ro RNP), in association with Ro60 and La proteins. The record is from Ensembl. NCBI's taxonomy places the organism in Eukaryota, Metazoa, Chordata, Mammalia, Primates, Cebidae.